GACAGAGGUGCCAAGCGUUAGGCGGAAUCACUGGGCUUAAAGCGUGUGUAGGCGGAAUGGUAAGUACCUUGUGAAAUCCCACGGCUCAACCGUGGAACUGCUGGGUAUACUGCUUUUCUUGAGCCACUUAGGGGCUGUCGGAACAAACGGUGGAGCGGUGAAAUGCGUAGAUAUCAUUUGGAACGCCAAUGGUGAAAACAGGUAGCUGGGGCUGUGCUGACACUGAGACACGAAAGCCAGGGGAGCAAACGGG
Molecule: ribosomal RNA, 253 nt
Filed under: uncultured bacterium
Lineage: Bacteria
Description: partial 16S ribosomal RNA
Rfam family: Bacterial small subunit ribosomal RNA
Source: RNAcentral